Molecule: long non-coding RNA, 1368 nt
Filed under: Ananas comosus (pineapple)
Lineage: Eukaryota; Viridiplantae; Streptophyta; Magnoliopsida; Poales; Bromeliaceae
Description: long non-coding RNA (ACOM_LNC033921)
Source: RNAcentral
UUUGAAUAUUUAAAAUUAUAAUUUAAAAUUUAAAAAUUUUAAAUUUUUACAUUUAAAUUUUAAAAUCUAAAAUGUCAAAUUUUAAAUUUUAUCUUAAAUUUAAAAUUUUAAAAUCUAAAAUUUGAGAUUUGAAAAUUAAAAUUAAAAUUUAAAAUUUGAAAUUUGAAAUCUAUUUUUCAAAGUUUAAAAUUUAAAAGUUAAAAUUUAAAAAUUCAAAAAUGAAUCUGAAAUUUAAAAAUUAAAAUUAAAAUUAAAUUUAAAUUUAAAUAUUGAAAUUAAAAUAAAAAUAAAAAUUUAAAGUUUAAAUCCAAAAUCAGAAUCAGAUUUUAUGAAGCAGCUUUUUUCUGCUUCUGAUUCUGGGACCUUUAAAAUUAGUUUUCUGAUUCUAAAAAGCUGAAUCAGAUUUUAAAAGUGAGUUGCCAAACGCUCUAUUAAGCCGAAAAUCACUUCUCAGCCCAAAUGCGCUUUUUAAAAGUUAGGCCAAAUACCCCCUUAGCUUUGAUAAUAUUAAUUCUCUUUGAAAUAUAGCAAAUUAGGUAAUGCCAAACUUGCUAGGCUGGUUAAAAAAAAAAAGAAAUCAUUAUUAACAAAUUGACGAGCCAAUUCAGCAACCCUGGUACUAGGAUACUAAUUGUAUAUAUAUCCAUCCACGGCACAUUGUAUUUGUUGGCAUAAUUAAUCCAAUUAAAUUUAGAAAUAUUCCCUCUUAUUAUUCUGUUUAGAAAUAUCAGUUAUAUAUAUAUAUAUAUAUAUAUAUAUAUAUAGAGAGAGAGAGAGAGAGAGAGAGAGAGAGAGAGAGUGUUUUGCUAAAAUACUAUCGGUAGUAAACAAGCCGUUUUACUACCCAUUUGUUUUCGAUGAUAGAACUUCCAAAUUUAUGAUCGGCUCCGUUGAACAUGAUCUAUACCACUUGAAGUGCUUAGAAAUCAAAUUUCAAAUCUUUUCGACAUCAUUUGCUUAAUGAUCAAAGGAUUUCAAAAUUUGUAAUUUUAAUGGUCAAAAAGAGGCGUUUUCACGUUUAACGGUAUAAAGAUAUCCAAAUCGAUUGAAUUUUUGUUAGAAAAUUCUUUAAACUAAUUAAAACAAUAUCUAUACUCUUGAUCUUGAUUACAAGACUCCUAUCAUCAUUUUCUAAAGAGUAUUUAUUUUCAGCCAUUCAUUUUUGUGUUUACUUGAUGGAUAAAAGAACAAUAUCGAAAAUGCGUGAAAUUUAAUUUUUAGGUAGUUUAAAUGGUUUAGAUCAUAUUUAACGAAGCCGAUCGUCAAUUUGGAAGUUCUAUCAUCGAAAACAAAUCGGUAGUAAAACGGCUCGUUUACUACCGAUAGUAUUCUAGCUCAACUAUAUAUAUAUAAAAUUAUUGUGGUAAG